AGAAGAUUAAUAUUGUCAAUGGGCACAAAGAAAAGGGAACUGGAAAGGCAGGAGCAUGAAGGUGAUCUAAGUAUAUCCUCGAUUUAACAUUAUGGUGUAUUUUCACAUUAUUGUGUUAAAAAAAAUUUCCUUCCUAUGAACCUUCGAAACUUUUCGUACGAUUUUUGCCUUACGGGGCUUUUAUUAUCAUGUGAGUAGAAACACCAUUCAGUACUAGAGGCUUUAAAGCAUGAUACGUCUCGUUCAUGUAGUUAACUUUAAUUUGACUUACCCUUUAAUGCCGACUAAACAAAAAUAAAUUAAACUGGUGUUUUAGCACCAAUAGUUCUCGAUAGCAUUAUUCAUAUAACUUUUUCUUUUUUGAUGAUCAGUUGAUUUUGCACAAGACGCAGCUGGUUCACAUCAAAAUAUCAAGGAAUCUUCAGCUUCAAAAUAACUGCAGAAUAUCUCAAAGAAGAGAGAAUCAUACCAAUUCAUACAGUUGUAUUGUCUGCGGCAUUGAAUUUAUCACCUUUCCUUUUAUUUCAUCCAAAGAAAUAUUUAUUGCACUUUCUAUCCAGGUCAGGAAAAGCUUCAUCGUCGAUCAUGUCAAUAUAAUAAUUGAUUUUUCUUCUCUCAGUCUGGCCAUACAAAACUUUUGGAACAUGGACCUUAAAGUUUCAACCAUCUUUCUACUUGAUAUUUUCAAAAGCUUUUUUCCUCAAAUUUUGCUUUUGCUCUUAAAAGACACUGGUCGUAAAGCAUUGUUAAGGAACGAUUUUUUUUUUGUGCAUUUUGGCCUUUCUUUUUUAUAAUGGGUUUGUAUCUUGACCAUUCUUUCCUCGUCAUCUACAUUGCAUAAUUGUUCGAGAUUUCUGACCGUGCACUUCAAUUUUGUCUUUAGUAAUUUCCAUCUCUUGAAAUCAUCAUUCAAUUCCUUUGCAUGGUUCCCAGGAGGAUUGUAGUGUGUCGCAUUGGAAAAAUCAACCUAACAUCAUUAGCUAAUUCCUCUGCAUCAAAGUAUGUAUUGUCCCUCUAGUUUACGUUUUAUCGUUCCUAAAUUCAUUGGUUCAAUAGUUGUUGGAAUCAGUAGGAGAUCAAUUGGUUGAUUUAAAGAGCCCAUCGGUGAUCUCAAAAUACUUCUACAUUGCUGCUUGAAACUUCAAUCCAUCCUAUGCUUCUUUUAUCCCCUUUGACACUCAAGGAUCACUCAAACUUACGCUUCUUGGAGUUACUUGAUUAGGAAAAUUUGACUAAAUUAGAUUUUUUAUUUGCAUUAACUGCAUCCGUGCAUUCAUUUUUUAUUAUCACUGUGCGGUUUUUCACGUGAGUUCUCUUGUGAUUCAUGCUAUAUUCUUUGUGAGCUGAUUCUGUACUUUAUGAUCCUCGUGUUACUAAUAGCCGCCACAAAUUUAAAUUCGUGAUUUAAUGGAGAAUUGC
This 1419-nucleotide long non-coding RNA is filed under the name Olea europaea subsp. europaea. Lineage: Eukaryota; Viridiplantae; Streptophyta; Magnoliopsida; Lamiales; Oleaceae. The record is from RNAcentral.